CGGGUGAGUAACACGUGGGUGACCUGCCCUUAGCUCUGGGAUAAGCCUGGGAAACUGGGUCUAAUACCGGAUAUGACCUCAUGACGCAUGUUGUGGGGUGGAAAGCCUUGUGCGGCUAGGGAUGGGCCCGCGGCCUAUCAGCUUGUUGGUGGGGUGAUGGCCUACCAAGGCGACGACGGGUAGCCGGCCUGAGAGGGCGACCGGCCACACUGGGACUGAGACACGGGCCAG
RNAcentral lists this ribosomal RNA (231 nucleotides) under uncultured bacterium. Its description in RNAcentral is "partial 16S ribosomal RNA". It matches the Rfam family "Bacterial small subunit ribosomal RNA", at positions 103 to 334 of the family's 1533-position model. The record is from RNAcentral.